Molecule: long non-coding RNA, 1156 nt
Organism: Drosophila miranda
Lineage: Eukaryota; Metazoa; Arthropoda; Insecta; Diptera; Drosophilidae
Exons: 2
Source: RefSeq, a predicted model, not a curated record
AAUCUAAAAGAUUUCUCUGAGAUGAGAUAUAAUUGGCUUUUUAUACAACAAAAUUAGAUGAUGAUAGAUAGAUGACCGCGCACUUUCUGCCGUCGUUUGGCUUUAAAACAAGUAUUUUAAAAGUAAAGACCUAUACCGCUGUAUUUACGAAGCUGAUUUAGAUUUCCAGAUUCGAUGAAGAAACUUAACGUAUCGAUAAAAAAUUUUUUUUUUAAACGUUUGGCGGAAAACGUAAAACAAAACCCGGAGCCUCCCUGAAACAAUCAAUUGAGAGAGUUUAUCUGAGGGCUUUAAAUUGAGGCAAGACAAUCAUGAGAAAAAUUACCAUAACAUACCAUAAACAAAAUUGUUUAAAAAUAUUUGUAGCCCCAAGUACCUCUUAUAAAUGGAUUUUGUUGACUAAAAAAAACGAGUCAAGAAAUCGUCUGUUUUUAAUUCGGAUCAAUUGCAGAAAGCUAAUCAGUGGGACGGUCAGGCUGAUGUCCAGGACUGAUCGUGUUUUCAAUCAAGUUUACUGGAGCCCACUCUUAAGUUUUCUGACAUCCGUAUCAGCUCCAAGCUGGGGAAUACCCACCCAUCCAAGUUACAACAACCAUGCCAACAGGCUUACAACUUGGGAGAUCGACCGAUCUUGGGAUGAUGCUAUUGGGCCCAAGCGACCGUCCUAAUCUCAGUAACUCAGUAUUGAUGGUCCUCGCACACAGUACAAAUAUGUACAUAUGUAAUACAUGUAAGUCGGACAGUCACACAGAUCGGAUAUUGACCUACACCAUACAGCUGCCGUACCUAUUACAAAGACCGAUCUAAGAAGUUCGUCACUGUUUCUGGAAUACCUCGGCUUCAUAAAAAUACCUAUGUAUUUAUCUGUAGUUAUUCGUAGUCGGAAAUAUCCAAGUACAUUUGUACGGUAGAAAAAGUUAAGAGAAAUUUAAAAAAGAAUGUAAAGCGCAAAAACAACGAAUUCACGAGCUUCGUUUAUUAAACUACUGAUUUGUUAACAAAUAUUUUCAAAGAAUAAGCUUUAGCUGUAUUCAUGUUAAAUUACUUCAGCUUUGAGAACAGACUGUGUGCAACGCAGUGAUCCAGUUCCGCAACAUAGUCAAAUAACUCUUCCAUGCACGUCUCCGUGGUCUUGGAUCGCCCGUUAACGCGAUCA